AUACGGAAGGUCCGGGCGUUAUCCGGAUUUAUUGGGUUUAAAGGGAGCGCAGGCGGAGAUGCAAGCGUGACGUCAAAUUUCGGGGCUCAACCCCGUCUCGCGUCGCGAACUGCGUCCCUUGGUUGCGGGAAGGGGAGGCGGAACUCGUGGUGUAGCGCUGAAAUGCAUAGAUAUCACGAAGAACUCCGAUCGCGAAGGCAGCCUUCCGGCCCGUCAACGACGCUCAUGCUCGAAGGUGCGGGUAUCAAACAGGAUUAGAUACCCUGGUAGUCCGCACAGUAAACGAUGGACACCCGCGGUUUGGCCUGUAUGGCUGAGCCGCCAAGCGAAAGCGUUAAGUGUCCCACCUGGGGAGUACGCCGGCAACGGUGAAACUCAAAGGAAUUGGCGGGG
RNAcentral lists this ribosomal RNA (393 nucleotides) under uncultured bacterium. Its description in RNAcentral is "partial 16S ribosomal RNA". It matches the Rfam family "Bacterial small subunit ribosomal RNA", at positions 523 to 918 of the family's 1533-position model. The record is from RNAcentral.